AGUGAACGCUGGCGGCAGGCCUAACACAUGCAAGUCGAACGGCAGCACAGUAAGAGCUUGCUCUUACGGGUGGCGAGUGGCGGACGGGUGAGGAAUACAUCGGCAUCUACUUUUUCGUGGGGGAUAACGUAGGGAAACUUACGCUAAUACCGCAUACGACCUACGGGUGAAAGCAGGGGAUCUUCGGACCUUUCGCGAUUGAAUGAGCCGAUGUCGGAUUAGCUAGUUGGCGGGGUAAAGGCCCACCAAGGCGACGAUCCGUAGCUGGUCUGAGAGGAUGAUCAGCCACACUGGAACUGAGACACGGUCCAGACUCCUACGGGAGGCAGCAGUGGGGAAUCUUGGACAAUGGGCGAAAGCCUGAUGCAGCCACACCGCGUGGGUGAAGAAGGCCUUCGGGUUGUAAAGCCCUUUUGUUGGGAAAGAAAAGCAGCAGGUUAAUACCCCGAUGUUCUGACGGUACCCAAAGAAAAAGCACCGGCUAACUUCGUG
RNAcentral lists this ribosomal RNA (492 nucleotides) under uncultured bacterium. RNAcentral describes it as "partial 16S ribosomal RNA". It matches the Rfam family "Bacterial small subunit ribosomal RNA", at positions 29 to 507 of the family's 1533-position model. The record is from RNAcentral.